AUACGGAGGAUGCAAGCGUUAUCCGGAUUUAUUGGGUUUAAAGGGAGCGCAGGCGGAGAUGCAAGCGUGACGUCAAAUUUCGGGGCUCAACCCCGUCACGCGUCGCGAACUGCGUCCCUUGGUUGCGGGAAGGGGAGGCGGAACUCGUGGUGUAGCGGUGAAAUGCAUAGAUAUCACGAAGAACUCCGAUCGCGAAGGCAGCCUGCAGACCCGUUAACGACGCUCAUGCACGAAGUAGCGGGUAUCAAACACGAUUAGAUUCCUUGGUAGACCGCGCAGUAGACGAUGGACACCCGCGGUUUGGCCUGUAUGGCUGUGCCGCCAAGCGAAAGCAUUAAGUGUCCCACCUGGGGAGUACGCCGGCAACGUUGAAACUCAAAUGAAUUGACGGGG
Molecule: ribosomal RNA, 393 nt
Filed under: uncultured bacterium
Lineage: Bacteria
Description: partial 16S ribosomal RNA
Rfam family: Bacterial small subunit ribosomal RNA
Source: RNAcentral